Long non-coding RNA from Camelina sativa (false flax), 1695 nucleotides. RefSeq lists it as uncharacterized. NCBI's taxonomy places the organism in Eukaryota, Viridiplantae, Streptophyta, Magnoliopsida, Brassicales, Brassicaceae. The record is from RefSeq and is a predicted model, not a curated record.
UUCUCUUGCACGAUGAUGAUUCUUAUUGCUUUCUUUGAUUAUGUUUCUAAUCUUUUUAUCAUCUCUUUAGGGUUUUGCUCGAUUUAUUAACAUCUGAUCAAUCGUCGUUGAUCUUUAAUGAUCAACCCUAGUUGUUGAUCUUUUAUUGCGUCGAUUUUGCGAUUGAUCAAUCCAUUGAGGUAUGUUGUUUGUUAUCUACGCAUGCAUAUAUAUAUAUAUAUAUAUACAUAUAUAUCUUGUUAUUAAUGUGUAUAAAUCUUUUGGGUCUUUUGCUUACAUAUUUCGUAGAAUUCGAUUAUUGGUUUGUAUUUGGUCCGUAUGAAGUCUUCUUCGAACUCUGUAUUCUGUUUUUUUGGUAUUCUUGUAUAGAUUCCUUCUUGUUGAUCAAGAAGCAGAAGUCUGUGUAUAUCUUCUAAUGAAAUAAGGAAUGAUCUUGUAGAUAUCUGUUUUAUUUUCAUGUAAGUUUUGUUCCUUUUCUUUAUAUGACUAUCUUUUAAAUCUCCUAUCUAACCGAUGAUCUUCUUGUUAUGGUUUGGCUUGUCUUGUUCUUCUUAUCCGGGAGUGACGUUGAUCCUUAGCGCAUAUUUGGGAUGGAUUAAUGUUGAGUUUUCAGGCCUGUCCAUCGAGGUAUUACCUAUUGAUAUAGUCAAUAGAGGCGCAGCCGCGCAGGGACAAAAACACAUCUGAUGAUUCAACUAUCCUUGAUCUCAUAUAUCAUCUCUCGAUGAUGCUCCAAUCAACUCUAGUUGAUCUGAUCAUAUCAUCUCUUGAUGAUCUUCCAAUCAACCCUCAUUGAUUUUGUUAUCAUCUCUUGAUAAUGCUCCUAUCAACCAUCAUUGAUCUUGUUAUCAUCUGUUGAUAAUUAAUGCUCCUAUCAACCAUUGUUGAUCUUGUUAUCAUAUCUUGAUAAUAAUCCUAUCAACCAUCGUUGAUAUUGUUAUCAUCUCUUGAUAAUGCUCCAAUCAACCAUCGUUGAUCUUGUUAUCAUCUAUUGAUAAUGCUCCUAUCAACUCUCGUUGAUCUUGUUAUCAUCUAUUGAUAAUGCUCUUAUCAACUCUCGUUGAUUUUGUUAUCAUCUAUUGAUAAUGCUCUUAUCAACUCUCAUUGAUCUUGUUAUCAUCUCUUGAUAAUGCUCCAAUCAACCAUUGUUCAUCUCUUGAUAAUGCUCCCAUCAACCGCUGAUCUCCUAUAUCAUCUCUCGAUGAUCCUCGAAUCAACUCUAGUUGAUCUGAUCAUAUCAUCUCCCGAUGAUCCUCCCAUCAAGUCUUGUUGAUCUGAUCAUAUCUAAUGAUAUCAUCAACCCUCGUUGACAAAGAAAGGAAUAAGACUUAAAACUUGCAGAGGUUUUUGUUUGGUCUUUCCAACUGACCACAGAUGUAAAAGAAAGAAUAAGGAAGGGAGUUAUCUGACCUUUGCCAUGACAGGUGCGCUUGCUUGGCAGGUCUUUAUUUUUGGACAAACCUUCGGGAAGAGCUUAAGAAAAACGGAAGUGUGAUGGGAAGGAUUGCAAGAGUUCGUUAGGCCUUUUAUGUUGCAAGGGCAGAGCAACAAAGUUUGUGAAAGUGGGAAAUAUAGAUUUUUUUUUUUUGUAUCUUGAAUUCUCUGCACUCAAUAAUUAAUGUGUACAACAUGUAUUUCAUGGUUAAGAGUUACAAGAAUCUUACUCUGGUUCUUACAUGUACCUAAUUGAAACUA